This 274-nucleotide unclassified non-coding RNA is filed under the name Oidiodendron sp. RNAcentral's name for it is "partial contains 5.8S ribosomal RNA, internal transcribed spacer 2, and large subunit ribosomal RNA". The stretch from base 1 to 71 matches the Rfam family "5.8S ribosomal RNA", at positions 84 to 154 of the family's 154-position model. Lineage: Eukaryota; Fungi; Ascomycota; Leotiomycetes; Myxotrichaceae. The record is from RNAcentral.
GUGAGUCAUCGAAUCUUUGAACGCACAUUGCGCCCUGUGGUAUUCCGCAGGGCAUGCCUGUUCGAGCGUCAUUUCAACCCUCAAGCCCAGCUUGGCGUUGGGCCCUGCCCGUGGUGGCUGGCCCUAAAGACAGUGGCGGCGCCGCCUGGCCCUCAGCGUAGUACAGCUCUCGCUCCAGGGUCCGGCGGUGGCCUGCCAGAACCCCCAACUCUGUGGUUGACCUCGGAUCAGGUAGGGAUACCCGCUGAACUUAAGCAUAUCAAUAAGCGGAGGA